This 465-nucleotide ribosomal RNA is filed under the name uncultured bacterium. Its description in RNAcentral is "partial 16S ribosomal RNA". It matches the Rfam family "Bacterial small subunit ribosomal RNA", at positions 339 to 795 of the family's 1533-position model. The record is from RNAcentral.
CUACGGGGUGCAGCAGUGGGGAAUAUUGCGCAAUGGGGGAAACCCUGACGCAGCGACGCCGCGUGGAGGAUGAAGGUUUUCGGAUCGUAAACUCCUGUCAGUAGGGAAGAACCCUGCAAAGAAUAAUACGCUUUGCAGCUGACGGUACCUACAGAGGAAGCACCGGCUAAUUCCGUGCCAGCAGCCGCGGUAAUACGGAAGGUGCAAGCGUUAAUCGGAAUCACUGGGCGUAAAGCGCUCGUAGGUUGCUAUGUAAGUCAGGUGUGAAAGCCCACGGCUCAACCGGGGAAUUGCACUUGAUACUGCAUAGCUAGAGUUCGGGAGAGGGGAGUGGAAUUCCAGGUGUAGGAGUGAAAUCCGUAGAGAUCUGGAGGAACACCAGUGGCGAAGGCGACUACCUGGACCGAUACUGACACUGAGGAGCGAAAGCGUGGGGAGCAAACAGGAUUAGAUACCCUAGUAGUC